RNAcentral lists this transfer RNA (71 nucleotides) under Sus scrofa domesticus (domestic pig). RNAcentral describes it as "tRNA-Ile". It matches the Rfam family "tRNA". From Rfam's summary of the family: Transfer RNA (tRNA) molecules are approximately 80 nucleotides in length. Their secondary structure includes four short double-helical elements and three loops (D, anti-codon, and T loops). Further hydrogen bonds mediate the characteristic L-shaped molecular structure. tRNAs have two regions of fundamental functional importance: the anti-codon, which is responsible for specific mRNA codon recognition, and the 3' end, to which the tRNAs corresponding amino acid is attached (by aminoacyl-tRNA synthetases). tRNAs cope with the degeneracy of the genetic code in two manners: having more than one tRNA (with a specific anti-codon) for a particular amino acid; and 'wobble' base-pairing, i.e. permitting non-standard base-pairing at the 3rd anti-codon position. Lineage: Eukaryota; Metazoa; Chordata; Mammalia; Artiodactyla; Suidae. The record is from RNAcentral.
AGAAAUAUGUCUGAUAAAAGAGUUACUUUGAUAGAGUAAAAAAUAGAGGUUCAAACCCUCUUACUUUUCUA